This 406-nucleotide ribosomal RNA is filed under the name uncultured bacterium. Its description in RNAcentral is "partial 16S ribosomal RNA". It matches the Rfam family "Bacterial small subunit ribosomal RNA", at positions 30 to 526 of the family's 1533-position model. The record is from RNAcentral.
AUUGAACGCUGGCGGCAGGCCUAACACAUGCAAGUCGAACGGGUGGCUGGCGGGUGAGUAAUGUCUGGGAAACUGCCUGAUGGAGGGGGAUAACUACUGGAAACGGUAGCUAAUAACGCAUCCCAUCGGAUGUGCCCAGAUGGGAUUAGCUAGUAGGUGGGGUAAAGGCUCACCUAGGCGACGAUCCCGAGCCGGUCUGAGAGGAUGACCAGCCCCACUGGAACGGAGACACGGUCCAGACUCAUACGGGAGGCAGCAGUGGGGAAUAUUGCACAAGGGGCGCAAGCCUGAUGCAGACAUGCCGAGUGGAUGACAAGGUCCUUGGGGUUUUAAAGUACUUGCAGCGGGGAGGCGUUACCCGCAGAAGAAGCACCGGCUAACUCCGUGCCAGCAGCCGCGGUAAUUC